GCAACUCCGCAGCGCCCGGAGCCGCUCCAUCCCCGGGCCGAGCCCCCGCUCCGCUCCAGCGGGGAGCUGCGGUGCUCCGCGCCCCGUGGAAAGAGGAGGAGGAGAAGACUGCAGCCCCGGGCCGGCGCGAGGCCUCCCGCCUGUCCUGCCCGCCGGCCGCCGCCGUAACUCCGAUUUGGCCCCACACAGCUUCCAUGGUGAUACUAUAACAUCUGGACUCCUUCACAGCCCUUGGUCCACUGUCAGGAACAGCCAGUGACAGACAUCGGGACUAAAGCAACAGCAGUGACCCGAGUUAUUUUGGAAGUUACAGCCCAACAUAUAAGAUUUCAUGCGGUGGCUCUGAUGACAAAAAACAAAUUUACCACAUGGAAUCUCACAACAUAUUGUGCGGUAACUCAGAAAAUAACUUGGGUUACUGUAGCACAUACAUAUAUAAUACACAUUAACGGUAUUUAUAGACACUGAUCUAUUAAGUCAUUUCCCUACACUACCUUCAGACCUUCUGUAUGAAGCUGAAAAGCCAUCAUUAAAGCUAUGGUUUGCCAGACAAUUACUUUGUCAAAUCUCAAGAAAUUGCAUAAUAAAUUGUAUACAUGCAUCAAACAUGAACAGCAGAAGGGUAUAACAAGCAGAGAAUUUCCAGUCCACUUGUUCAUUCAUCUGAACAGUAGCUUUUGUUUUGAAAAGUAAUCCUAUAUUCUUUUCAAGGCAUAAAAUGUGCAUAUACAUUUAUCUAUCAAACUAAGUAGAAAUAAUUGAAACACUUAAUAUGCACAGUAAUAAAGAAACGCACGAACAGCUUCAUUAUUAAUGUCUAUUGAUUAUUUAUGUUUUCAAAUAGGCAAAUGUAGCUACUAAUAUUUUAUUGUGUUAAUCUAUAUGUGCUUUUUGGCUUUACCUGUUUAUUGGCAAAUUUACUGUCCACAUUAUGGGUAUUUUUAUUGCUGUACACUCAUUUGCUACGUGCAAAACUGAGGUCAGUUUACGAACUGACGGUGUUUACUCAGUUUGAUUACUAUGUAACAUUGCUGAGACAAUUCCCCCUUUGGAAAAUUAACUGUACAAGGAAGCCCUGUAAAUCUUUACUUAAAAAUUCCAAACUUUAGAUUGAUUUCAGCAGUGGGUCUGUAUUGAUCCAAAAAGCUUUGCGUUCCUAACUAAAAACUAAUCUUUAUUUCACCCUUUAGUGACUGCAGCCAUAAAUAUGUUCACUCGCACUGGAGUUUAGUGGAUUAAUGGUUAUUGGAGAUUGUGGCUUCCAACUGAGGCUGGUAAACCUUAACCUUUGGAGGACAACACGAAGGCAUUUACCCCUUGUCAUCUAUAACAGCCAGGUCCAUUUCUGACAGUUACCUGAGUGUUAAAGAGGAGACAGAGUAGGGGACGGGAAAUAAAGCACCAGAGGCUCACUUUAGCUAUUAAUCAUUUAUUAGUCCGACUUCUGUAUCUGGACCUGACACUUUUUCUGAUGCAAAGUCAUUGAAAUGAGACAAUUUGUUUCAUGUAUGAUACAAGGACUCUAAA
Lagopus leucura (white-tailed ptarmigan) is the source of this 1527-nucleotide long non-coding RNA. RefSeq lists it as uncharacterized. The record is from RefSeq and is a predicted model, not a curated record. The transcript is spliced from 3 exons. NCBI's taxonomy places the organism in Eukaryota, Metazoa, Chordata, Aves, Galliformes, Phasianidae.